This 421-nucleotide ribosomal RNA is filed under the name Sarcocystis fusiformis. RNAcentral describes it as "bacterial SSU rRNA". It matches the Rfam family "Eukaryotic small subunit ribosomal RNA", at positions 631 to 1019 of the family's 1831-position model. Lineage: Eukaryota; Apicomplexa; Conoidasida; Eucoccidiorida; Sarcocystidae. The record is from RNAcentral.
UAGUUGGAUAUCUGCUGGAAGCAAUCAGUCCGCCCUUUUAGUGAGGGUGUGUACUUGAUGAAUUCUGGCAUGAUCAUCUUCCCACUAAUAAUAUUAUUAUAUAAGGAUAAUUCCUAAUAUGGUAAUAAUAAUGUUGGUAAGACAAACAGUAGUUACUUUGAGAAAAUUACAGUGUUUGAAGCAGGGGUUGUUGCCUUGAAUACUGCAGCAUGGAAUAACAAUAUAGGAUUUCGGUUCUAUUUUGUUGGUUUCUAGGACUGAAAUAAUGAUUAAUAGGGACAGUUGGGGGCAUUCGUAUUUAACUGUCAGAGGUGAAAUUCUUAGAUUUGUUAAAGACGAACUACUGCGAAAGCAUUUGCCGAAAGAUGUUUUCAUUAAUCAAGAACGAAAGUUAGGGGCUCGAAGACGAUCAGAUACCGUC